CUUUGAGUAUGAACUCUGACAGCCUUCAUCAAGCAGUAUAGAGAUGGUUUGGGGUCUCUGAUUAGCCUGAUUGACUCCCCCAGAUGUGUUGGUUUCUCCUUUGAAGGUCCAGCAGCUCUCUGUGUCACUGAUGGUGCCUGUUGUGAUUGACUGUUUCAGUGUACUGAAGAGUCUGGCAGACAUAUAGUUACUGGAGCUGGCAAGCCCCAGCUAGAAAUUUGUCUUACGGAUCUGGAAGAAGAUCAUGCUUUACUCCAAUUAAGUCCAGUGAGAUGAUGUCAGGAGCGCUGCCACUGCUGCUGGUUAUAACUCCCGUCUCACUCCUGUUGGAGGAGCUAACGUGCGUGUUGCUCUCGUGGUGACUGGUCGAUGUGAUGAUGCUGCCAGGCGUGUUGCUUGUUAAGGUUGAGGUGAGACUAUCCAAAAACAUAGGAGGACAGUACUGCUUGAAACAAACAAUGAAAAAUGAAGAGACUAACUGCACAAGGGAAAUGUAUGCUCUGAAGAUACAUCUUCCCUACAACAAGCACAACACAAGUGACUAGCUGGACCUCACUAGUGCAUGCAGAGCAAGAAUGAGAGUUCUGCUGAACAGCAAGGAAGCAAGCAGAGGUGGGAGCAGCAAUCCCUUCUUCGUCCACUCUGUUCUUCCUCCUCCUAACCAGUUAGUCUGAGCAUUUACAGGCACAUUAGGAAACACUAUCAUGAGCACAGGACCUCCCAGCAGUAUCCAAAUGGAAACCUGCAAUGAACAGUGUCCCUCAAGGGUCCAUACUGGAAUCAGUACUACUGAGAUCAGUACUACUUGUAUCUUACUGACAAGGAUAAUGGCACCUUAAUAAUGGUAAGGAUAGUGGUGCAGGUGACACAGCAGGAGGGGAUGCCAUCCAGCAGGUCCUGAAUGGACCCAUGUGAACUGAAUGAGGUACAGCAGGACAAGUGCAGUGCACUGCUCCCAGAUUACAGAAAUUCUGGGCACAAAAUACAAGGUAUAGGCAGAGAAUAGAUUGAGAGCAGCGCUGCAGAGAAGGGCUUGGAGUACUGUCACACGAAAAGCAGAGUGCACCUGCAGCCCAGAAAAGCUGAUCAUCUUGGACUGCAUCAAAAGGAGGCCAGCAGGUCAAGGGAGAUGAUUGUCAUUUUCUAUUCUGCUCUCAUGAGAACUCCAGGUUGAGUACUACCUUAGUUAGGGAGGCAGUAUUCCCCUCUUGAAGGCUAUCGACCAUCUGUGUAAGAAUCUAAUUAUAAUCCAAUCAUUUAUGCAAAUGCAAGGAGAAGCACCAUCUAGUUACUUUUGACCUACAAAACUUUCACGUAUAGCAAGGCCAAUGGAUUUUAUGUGUUAUACUGAAGGACUUGUAAAAAUGUUCAGUCGGUGUGCCCAAACUAAUGACAAUAUCGUCUUUACAACUCAAUCCACAAUUAUUAUCACAGCCAACCACACUGAAAUUGUUACAGAAGUUAAUCUGGCUUACAGAUACACAGUAUGAACUAAAAGCAUGGAAGACAUAAUAGCUGUAAUCAUGUCAGCGCUGUGCAAGUAUCUGCUUUAGUAAGGCAAAACAAGCUACCAAUAAUUUGCUGUGCAUGGAUUUAUAGUGCCAUUAAUCAGAAUCUUCCUUUCAUGCAUUUUUUCCUCAUUACCACCUGUUGUUAAAAUGUGUUUUCCUGGUCUGUGGUUAGAUCCAAGCAAGUGGACUGCAAAUGUGAUGUGAAUGACAACAUCCUGACAGUGACUGAAGCAGUAUUGCAUAGAAAAUACACUUGGAAAUUAAACCCUUGGCAGUUAAGAAACAUACCUGUGAUUCAACAGGAAUUAGUGAAAGGAAAUCCAAACCUAGAAAGAAAAGAGGGAUAAUAAACUGACAUGUCUUCCUUCUCUUCAUACACAACAAGUUUAAGGAAUUUUUGUUGUUGUCGUAGAACAGAUUUUUGCAAUUGCUAUACAGUUUCUAAAUGAAGUAUACCACUGUGACACCACUCUCAACGACUUCAGGCAGCAGCAAAACACGUUUUCUAGUACAAGUGGCUCUUUUUAAGAAUGAGGAUGACAAUGAUGUAUUAUUCACUGGAUAUUGCAGGGUGGUUCAAUGUGGUUGCUUAGAUGGAGGUUGCCAUUUGGAGCUGUUGUUCAUAACACAAGUUUCACUGCAUAUUGUACCUGACUUGGCCAAACUGGGACAUGAAGAGUGUCAUCACAUUAAGGAUGCUGGAAUGAAGUAAAGUCACAACAUGCACAAGUCCAAAAACAAGCAGCAGGUCUCUUCCUCCACCCAUAGGCAGCCAAUAAGGAAAUAUUUCUAAUAUCAUCCCCGUUUUGCGUCUAGACAAAUAAAAGGAACGAAGAAGAGGAAACCACAAGUAGUUCAAGGUAAUCCUCUAUGAGCAGUGACAACCAGCGCCCAUCCUCUAUGCCAUUAGCACAUAAGCAUUUAGGGCAAAAAAAAACAACACAAUAUCAAUGAGAAAUCACAGCCAUUUCUAUUUCAAAAUCUUGGCCUUGUGUUUGCUAUGCCAACAGAAAGAAAUGGUACGCUUUCUCCCUCCCUCUCUUGUUACAGUAUAGAUCUGUUUCAGCCGGUGGCAUCUCUA
RNAcentral lists this long non-coding RNA (2592 nucleotides) under Gallus gallus (chicken). Its description in RNAcentral is "long non-coding RNA NONGGAT011618". The record is from RNAcentral. Lineage: Eukaryota; Metazoa; Chordata; Aves; Galliformes; Phasianidae.